Molecule: ribosomal RNA, 382 nt
Filed under: Eurycantha insularis
Lineage: Eukaryota; Metazoa; Arthropoda; Insecta; Phasmatodea; Phasmatidae
Description: partial 12S ribosomal RNA
Source: RNAcentral
UAAACUAGGAUUAGAUACCCUAUUAUUUUAAACGUAAAUUUUUGCCAAGGUAGUAAUAGUUUUGUUCUUUAAACCUAAAGAAUUUGGCGGUGUUUUAGUCUUUUCAGAGGAACUUGCCCCAUUAUCGAUAGUCCUCGUUAUAUCUAACUUGUUUUAUUUAGUAUGUAUACCGCCGUUAUAAGCUUAUUUUUUAAGAAUUAUUUGCUUUGAAUUUAAUUUAUUUAUAUUUCAGGUCAAGGUGCAGCUUAUAAAUAAGAGGUGGUGAGUUACAAUAUUAUUUUAAUAUAUGAAUAUAAAUUUUAUAAUUUUAUUGAAAGUGGAUUUGUUAGUAAUUUUUAUUAUAGUUUAGAUUUGAUUUUGGCUCUAAAAUGAGUACACAUCG